GUAACCCAUAAUGGUUGUUAUUGUUUCCCUCUGGAAUGUGUGGGCGGUACUCUCGUGCCCGUGCAGCCCUCGCUCCCAUGCAGCUGGAGAGUAUAAAAGGAAGAGGUUCUGUAGUAAAGCAAGCUAGGAACUUGAGAAGAAAGGUGCUCUCUGUCCUCGUCCUUUCAGGUUUAGGACCUGCUGGCAGGAUCCUGACGUCGCGGCUCGCGACAACCCACACUCAAUUUUCUGUUCUAGCCCAGCAGAUUGAGCGACUGACCCGUGCUGGUGACCCCCUGACACAUCCUUAGCUAUCUUGGAUGAAACAUGAGUUGAUUCAGCAGAGAACAGGGAGGUGAGUGGGA
This 344-nucleotide long non-coding RNA is filed under the name Fukomys damarensis (Damara mole-rat). RNAcentral describes it as "lncRNA (ENSFDAG00000024007.1)". The record is from RNAcentral. Lineage: Eukaryota; Metazoa; Chordata; Mammalia; Rodentia; Bathyergidae.